UACGUAUGGAGCAAGCGUUAUCCGGAUUUAUUGGGCGUAAAGGGAACGCAGGCGGUCUUUUAAGUCUGAUGUGAAAGCCUUCGGCUUAACCGGAGUAGUGCAUUGGAAACUGGGAGACUUGAGUGCAGAAGAGGAGAGUGGAACUCCGUGUGUAGCGGUGAAAUGCGUAGAUAUUAGGAGGAACACCAGUGGCGAAGGCGGCCUGCUGGACGGUGACUGACGCUGAGGCUCGAAAGCGUGGGGAGCAAACAGG
RNAcentral lists this ribosomal RNA (253 nucleotides) under uncultured Lactobacillus sp. RNAcentral's name for it is "partial 16S ribosomal RNA". It matches the Rfam family "Bacterial small subunit ribosomal RNA", at positions 524 to 776 of the family's 1533-position model. The record is from RNAcentral. Lineage: Bacteria; Bacillati; Bacillota; Bacilli; Lactobacillales; Lactobacillaceae.